GUUUGUUUUUUGUCCUUUGUUUUUGAAUGUAGCUUGUCCUUCUGUAUUAUUGAUUACUCCUGUGUCUUGUUAACACCCUAUUUAUUCAGUUCGUUUUUCCAGUUUCAUUGUGAAGUGUUGUUUCUAUGUUAUGACUCUACUAAGCCAGUUGCUCUGCAAAACUUUUGGAUAGCCCUUACAUGUACCGAGUUCUUUCACCUGUUUUUUCCUACUAACGAUUAUUAGUCUUGUCCCUGCCUGUACUUUUGCCUGCUUUUCUGUUAUCGACCUUGCCUGUUACUGACCACGGGUUUUGCCUGUUCCUGGUCCUGUGAUUAAACCUAUGGUCUCUGUGCUUGGAACCACCACCUGCCUGUGUUGUACUCUUACAGCACACUCCUUGCAGGAGGCCAUUCAGUGAUUUCCCUCAGCAGCAUAGCUGUCGUGUGUUACAAAUAUUAGUAGGAAAAUAUGGCUAAUCUAUGGCUGAAGGACUCAAUGGCCGGCAUUCCAUAGACCAGCUCCCUGGCAUCAACAUGGGACAACCAACCCUGGUCUCUCCAAGCAUGAACAUGGGACAACCAGCCCUGGUCUCUCCUAGCAUCAACAUGGGACAACCAACCCUGGUCUCUCCUAGCAUGAACAUGGAACAACCAGCCCUGGUCUCUCCUAGCAUGAACCUGGGACAACCAACCCUGGUCUCCCUUGGCAUCAACAUGGGACAACCAACCCUGGUCUCUCCUAGCAUGAACAUGGGACAAACAACCCUGGCCUCCUUUAGUUCACAAUGAACAUCAGCAUGAGACUACGUGUGUGCGCGUGUGAUGUGGAAUGUGAUUCACAGAGACAUCUGCUCCACACCUACAUUUGCCAGACACAACCACCUUUACCAUAACAUGGUCAACCGGUGGGAUGACACGGUAUCCUGGGCAUGUAUCGACAGCUCAGGAAUGAGCCUGCAAUUCUGGACUAUGGAACGGUGCAGAGGGUAGCCAGUGAAUUCAUCAGGCACAUUUAAACCUAACAAGGGGCUGUGGUUAAUGAUUCAGUAUCAUGUCAUGAUUGGCUGUGUUCUUACCCUUCUUUUUAACACCACUGUUCUAUGUGAGAACGCAAGCUGCCAAACGAGCCUAAUCUGUCAUACAACUGAGAUGAUUUCCAGACAGUUAAGAACUUAAUUUGUCCUCAAAGUGCAGCUAAAUGCCUGUCACAUAUUGUCUCCAUAAGGACUUCACACUCUUAGGGGUGUGGUCUGGCCCAAGGGCAUUGGUGGUUUUGAAUUGAAGGUGCUGGCUUAGGCAAUUACUCACAGCAAAGAGUGUGAUCCCAAGUUUAUGUGCCAGUGAAAGGGGUGUGGAGGACAGGGAGAGAGUUUCUUAGGAUUGUUCUGAGCUGAAGGAAAACAUGUCAGAGAAAAGGGCAUAAAAACUGGAAAUGUACACAGACAUCACCGCACUGAGAUAUGGUGACACAUGAUUGUUGCUUAAUGGAUUACUCCCCUGUACAAUAAAUCAAAAUGUAAACACAGCUGUUGUCUUUCAGUCACUGGGUUAGGCUGUGCCAGGUCCUUAAAACCAAUGAUCAGUGUAAUCAAGGAUUGACAUUAAUGUAGUUUUAAAAUGCAACCGCCUUUUGCGCUUGUUUGGUCAAUUCUCAGUGUAACAUUGUGUUCCUGCCGCCCUGAACAUCCAUUAUAGAAGCCUAGUUCUGAGAUUCUCUAUAAUAUCAUGUGUGGUGACUUGCUAAGGGCUGUGAAACAUUAUUACAUGAAAAGUUUUUC
This is a long non-coding RNA of Esox lucius (northern pike), 1759 nucleotides long. NCBI's taxonomy places the organism in Eukaryota, Metazoa, Chordata, Actinopteri, Esociformes, Esocidae. The record is from Ensembl.